This 252-nucleotide ribosomal RNA is filed under the name uncultured bacterium. RNAcentral's name for it is "partial 16S ribosomal RNA". It matches the Rfam family "Bacterial small subunit ribosomal RNA", at positions 524 to 775 of the family's 1533-position model. The record is from RNAcentral.
UACGAAGGGGGCGAGCGUUGUUCGGAUUUACUGGGCGUAAAGGGCGCGCAGGCGGCUCAUUUUGUCAGGCGUGAAAGCCCCGGGCUUAACCUGGGAGGUGCGUUUGAUACGGAUGGGCUAGAGUUCGGGAGAGGAGAGUGGAAUUCCCAGUGUAGAGGUGAAAUUCGUAGAUAUUGGGAAGAACACCGGUGGCGAAGGCGGCUCUCUGGACCGAGACUGACGCUGAGGCGCGAAAGCGUGGGGAGCAACAGG